RNAcentral lists this long non-coding RNA (4771 nucleotides) under Panax ginseng (ginseng). Its description in RNAcentral is "long non-coding RNA (PGIN_LNC006498)". The record is from RNAcentral. Lineage: Eukaryota; Viridiplantae; Streptophyta; Magnoliopsida; Apiales; Araliaceae.
AACCUAUAAAUACAUGAUGUAAGGCAUAAAAUAAAAGGAGAUUACAUAGAUUAGCCUAGAUUAAACACCCCUUUAGAUUAGAACAUAACCCUAGUUCUUAUUAAUUUUGGAGAUUGAAGCAACUUGGAGACCAUUGAAGAUCAAGAGCAAGAGCAAGAGGGGAGCAUCAGAUUUGCUGACAACAGAUUCUAUUCUCUUCUCUCAUCUUACUUUUAUCUUUUGAUGUCUAUUCAAUUGUGGAUUCUUGGUUUUAAUUCAUUAAUUAUGAACUAACUUUUUUAUUAAGAUUUCAAUUGAACCUUUUAUGGCUAUAAAUUAGUUAUUUAAUUUAUUCCAAUUAUUUGUGUCAAAGUGAGUUGUUUAUCUUGCCUUAUGCUUAUUGAUUAAUUAUCUGAUCAGUAAUUACUUUGUUACUCUAGAAGGAAUUGGAAGAGGAAUUCUAGGGUUAGAACUGGGCAUGAUAUCAUGUGACUUAGUUAUUUGCACAGUGAAUAAUUAGGUUUGUGAAUAGAAUGGAAAUAUCUUUUCGCCGCAUGUAACACAUAAGGAAUUGGGAUUGUAACGAGUUUAAUUCAAUUGUUUUGCAUAGGAAUAUAGCAAAAUUAAUCUGGAUUAAAUAGAAGGCAAUUGAUCACUUGGAAAAGGGCUUUUGGCAUUUGAGAAUUCCUGUUAACAAUUCAGUAGACAUAAUAAUUGGGAUAAUUGGAUAAUUGAUUUAUAGUUCAUAAUUGGGGAUAUUGGAGUCUUAAUCCUUAUUUACCUGAAUUCAAUCAAAUCUUAGUUUUGUUUAUUUGCUUUCUUUUAGACUAAUCUCUUUUAAUUGUUUAAUUUAGUUUUCUUAAUUAGAAAAUUCACAAUUUGUAAUUGUUUAAAUAAAAUUGAUUUGGUUAAGAGUUAGUAUUUGGUAAUUUUUAUUAAAUAAUUCCUCGUGGGAACGAUACUCUACUUUCACUUUAUUACUUGUUGACCGUGUAUACUUGCACGUAUUCAUUGAUUGCGAAAUCGAUCAACAAGUUUUUGGCGCCGUUGCCGGGGAAUUAAUUUAAUAAUUAUUUACCAAUAUUAAUUUCAAUCAAAUUAGUCUUAAUUUAAACAUUUUUAUUUUUAUUUUUAAUUCUCUUUCUAUAUUUCUCUCUUUUCAGGUACCAUGGAUGACUUUGUGUAUCAAUGGCCAUACACGAACAUGACUCAACCAAGGGGAGUGGAGAUUGAAAGACUCGAGAAACUUUCUGCAUUGUCAGCACAGAUUGAGACACUUUCGAGGAUGUUUGAAGCUUUUGAAGCUCAGCGUCGUCAAAGUAUGGUGGUUACUUGUGAUUAUUGUGCUGGAAAUCAUAUGAGUCAUCAAUGCACCAUCAGUUUCGAGCCGGUACAGUAUAGUGGUGAUUACCCCAAUAAUUAUGUCUAUCCCAACAACUAUCAUCAGGAUUGGGGGUAUCACCCGGAUUUUUCAUGGAGUAACAAUCAAGAUCAAUUUUAUGCUCCAAGUCCAACAUACCCACAGGAUUUCUUGUGUCCACCUCCACUACAACAGGAAGAACAUUCAAAUUGGGAGGAAGCCUUGGAAAAAUUUAUUAAAGCUUCUGAAAAAAGGAAUGAGGAACAAGACAAGAAAAUGAAUCAAGUAGAGCUGAAUUUGCAAAGCCAAGGGGCGUUGAUCAAGAAUUUGGAAAAUCAAGUGGAACAGAUAGCACAUGCGUUGAACAACCGUCCUCAAUACACCUGGCCCUAUGACAUGGAUUCCGAGCCCGAUGGUGAGCCCGAGCCAAAUCUACAACUGGAUGAGCCACGAGAUGAAAAAGAGGAGACAAGUGGGGAUAAUGACAACAAGGUCGGUGAAGAACUAAUUGUGAGAACCAAUGAUGAUGAGCCAAUGUUAUUUAUGCCUCAAGUGCCUUCUCCUCCACAGUUCAAGAGUCCGGUUAGAUUUGCAAAACCUUGUCCGAUUGGUAGUCAUGUCGUCGGCAAUACUCUCUGUGAUGUAAAAGCAAGUACACCUUCGAAACCAUGGUGCGAUGAGCUGGAGAAGAUAGAAGAAGAAACUGUUGUGUCUGACAAGCUUCAAUACCAGAAUAUAUUCGCAGACACAAUGGAGAAACCACCUAGAUGCUGGACGUUCUUGAAUGUGAUCUUAUCUAAAGAAAGCAUGCUAGGUGACUUUAAUACAAUGGCUAUCGUAAAUGGGAACCUACCAAAAGCUAUAUUAUUUCCGAUGGAUGGAGGGUUCCUCAACUUUCGUAGGGGAAUUGGAUAGAGAAUUGAAGAAGUCAGGCUGAGACUAUAAAACAAGCGCUUAUUGGGAGGCAACCCAAGUUUAAUUUUUAUUUUUAAUUUUUAUUAAGUUUUAUAUUAGUAGUUUGGAAUUUGCAUUUAUUUCGGAUUUAAUAAAAUUGCUCCUAUCAUGGUUUUACAGGUUAUUAAAGUCAAAUUCAAGUGUGGUGCCCAAUUUGUUCCAUGUGCUUAGCCUAUUCUCCAAACUUAGCGGGCAAGGAGGAAGAUUGCUAUAUUUUCAGGGAAGUCCUCUGCUUUAAUUUUUUCUAUUUCAGUCAUUGAGGACAAUGUCUAGUUUAAGUUUGGGGGCAUUUUAGUGUCGUAUUGCAUAUAGUUAGUUAUUUACAUUGUAGUUCGUUAUGUUUUCGGGUUAUUUACAUUUAGUUGUUGCAUUCGUUUUUUUUUUUUUUUUUUUUUAAAAAAAAAAUUUAAAAAUCGCAAAAAUAGUAGUUAGUUUACUAUGUUUGUUGCAGUUAGUUUAUAUUUGCAUGAUUCCAACUGUUAGAUAGUAAAAGUCUAUUUUGGCCAAUGAUGAGACUGGAGUUAAGUAGAUAAGUAUAGUAUUGAAUAUUCAGGCUUUGAUGUGAUUUCUUGUUAUGAAUUGAAUCUUUUCCUGUUUGAAACUGGUAUAAUCAAGGUUAGCACGUUAAUAACAGCUAUGUUAACUGAUUAAGUUUAAAUUGAUACAUAAUGGAUUUCUUAAGUAUAAUACUAGUGUGAAGGAAUGAAAGACAUGAAUAGGCGGAGAUGGCUAAAUUUUGAUAAAAACUUAAGUUUGGGGGGAAAUUUUGGGGUAUAUAAGCUUUAAAAAAAAAAAAAAAAAAACAUGUUGAGUCUUGUGGUGGGUUGAGGAGAAACACUCCCCAUAAACACAAGCGUGAGAUGGAGCGUAAAACGCACUCACCAACCAUCUAUAAAAAAAAGAGAAAAAGAAAAAAAAAAUUACCGUGGCUAGUUUUGUUUCGGGGCCUUUGUUACUUGAGUAAGUACGCCCGAAGGGGUAUCUUAAAACCUAGCGCCCUAAGGUCUUAUAUGGUCUGGGAGUCGUUGGUCGAAAGCUCGCUAAGGGGUGACACUGUUAGCCUAAUGGAAUGAGACAUUGCACAGUUAUGGUUAAAAAAAAAAAAAAAAAACGGGAAAAGAGCAAAAAGCCCCCGUAAUGAAAAGUAAAGCAUAAGUAUCCCAGAUUGGACUCUUGAACUUGGUGGAUGUUUGACUUUAGUUGGAUAUAGCUUGUUCGUGAAUUUUGUGAAUUUGCACUGUAUGAUGCCUUCAAAGAUAUCUAUUAUGUCUUAAAUUUGAUUUUAUAUCAGUUAACAUUGUUGUGGAGCACACACGCACUAUAUCAGUGAUAACAGUCUAAGAUUUGAUGAUUGAUUGGGAAAUUACUGAUUUGUUUUAAUAUGAUGUAUUAUCAUGUUUACUUGAUUUCUCUAAGGCCGGUUGAAUAGACUUGUUUCUGUCAUUACUGUUGGAUUCGUAGGCAUAUAGAUUAGUUUCAUUACAUUGCAUUGCAUAACAUUUUUGUGUUUUUGCUUGAGGACAAGCAAAGAUUUAAGUUUGGGGGUAUUUGAUGAGUGAGUUUUAUACCCAUGAAUUGGAUACAUUCGGGCUUAAUUUAUUGUUGUUCUUAAGUCUUUUAGGAUGUUUUUAUGUGUUUGUGUCUAUUCAUGCAUGUUUUAUGUUAUUUUAUAGGAAUUGGGACAAAAGUUACAUGGAUCGAUGUUUGGGGUGGCUAGAUUCGCGUUUUCGGCUUGCCAUUUACACAGCAGUCACUUCAGAGCCAAUUUGACUAUAGCUCCUGACAUUAUUUCGAAAAACUCAAAGAAUGAAAGUUGUAGAUCUACUUCUCCUCUUUCCGGAACAUCUUGAAUCAUCAAAAUCGGAGUUCGGACGAAGAAGUUAUGGCCAUUUUCCCAAAGGACGUCGGAGCAGAAAAUGUCAGAUUUUGGGCCAGCGCCGGGGCGCCCAUUUUUGGCCUAUGCCCAGCGCCGGGGCGCUAGGGGGCAGACUCCAGCGCCGUUGCCCAGCGCUGGGGCGCUGGGGGAAGGGUUUGGUGCGGCCUGGACGCGUUUUGGGCGAAUUUUGACACCUUUUUGACUCCAAAUAGGAUUGGGUUUGUUCCUAAGCUAAAAAUUGGACUUGUAACCUAUAAAUACAUGAUGUAAGGCAUAAAAUAAAGGGAGAUUACAUAGCUUAGCCUAGAUUAAACACUCCUUUAGAUUAGAAAAUAACCCUAGUUCUUAUUAGUUUUGGAGAUUGAAGCAACUUGGAGACCAUUGAAGAUCAAGAGCAAGAGCAAGAGGGGAGCAUCAGAUUUGCUGACAACAGAUUCUAUUCUCUUCUCUCAUCUUACUUUUAUCUUUUGAUGUCUAUUCAGUUGUGGAUUCUUGGUUUUAAUUCAUUAAUUAUGAACUAACUAUUUUUGAGAUUUCAAUUGAACUUUUUAUGGCUAUGAAUUAGUUAUUCAUUAUAUUCUAAUUAUUUAUGUUAAAGUGAG